RNAcentral lists this ribosomal RNA (483 nucleotides) under Pontastacus leptodactylus (narrow-clawed crayfish). RNAcentral describes it as "Astacus leptodactylus (narrow-clawed crayfish) partial large subunit ribosomal RNA". It matches the Rfam family "Bacterial large subunit ribosomal RNA", at positions 1857 to 2602 of the family's 2925-position model. Lineage: Eukaryota; Metazoa; Arthropoda; Malacostraca; Decapoda; Astacidae. The record is from RNAcentral.
ACCUGCCCAUUGGAAUCUAAAAGGCCGCGGUAUUAUGACCGUGCUAAGGUAGCAUAAUCAUUAGUCUUUUAAUUGGAGGCUGGUAUGAAUGGUUGGACAAGAAAUAAGCUGUCUUAAAUAAAAAUAUUGAAUUUAACUUUUAAGUGAAAAGGCUUAAAUUUUCUAAUGGGACGAUAAGACCCUAUAAAACUUUAUAUUUUAAAAUAAUAAUUAAUUUUUUAUAUAGAAGAUUUAUUUUUAAAUAUUUUAUUGGGGUGAUAAAGAUAAAAUGUGAGAUAACUGUCUUUUUUUUUUACAAUUAAUAUUUGAGUAAAAGAUCUUAACAAAGGAAAUAAGAGAUUAAGUUACUUUAGGGAUAACAGCGUAAUUUUCUUUAAGAGUUCUUAUCGACAAGAAAGUUUGCGACCUCGAUGUUGAAUUAAAAGUUCUUUAUAGAGUAGAUAUUAUAAUAGAGGGUCUGUUCGACCCUUAAAAUUUUACGUG